RNAcentral lists this ribosomal RNA (406 nucleotides) under uncultured bacterium. RNAcentral's name for it is "partial 16S ribosomal RNA". It matches the Rfam family "Bacterial small subunit ribosomal RNA", at positions 28 to 526 of the family's 1533-position model. The record is from RNAcentral.
GAUGAACGCUGACAGAAUGCUUAACACAUGCAAGUCGAACGAGUGGCGGACGGGUGAGUAAUGUCUGGGAAACUGCCUGAUGGAGGGGGAUAACUGCUGGAAACGGUAGCUAAUACCGCAUACCAUCGGAUGUGCCCAGAGGGGAUUAGCUAGUCGGUGGGGUAACGGCUCACCUAGGCGACGCUCCCUAGCUGGUCUGAGAGGAUGACCAGCCACACUGGAACUGAGACACGGUCCAGACUCCUACGGGAGGCAGCAGUGGGGAAUAUUGCACAAUGGGCGCAAGCCUGAUGCAGCCAUGCCGCGUGAAUGAAGAAGGCUUUCGGGUUGUAAAGUACUGUCAGCGGGGAGGCGGUACCCGCAGAAGAAGCACCGGCUAACUCCGUGCCAGCAGCCGCGGUAAUAC